GACGGAGGAUGCAAGCGUUAUCCGGAAUGAUUGGGCGUAAAGCGUCCGCAGGUGGCAGUUCAAGUCUGCUGUCAAAGACCGGGGCUUAACUUCGGAAAGGCAGUGGAAACUGAACAGCUAGAGUAUGGUAGGGGCAGAGGGAAUUCCUGGUGUAGCGGUGAAAUGCGUAGAUAUCUGGAGGAACACCGGUGGCGAAGGCGGCAUCCUGGACCGGCAUUGACGCUGAGGCGCGAAAGCUAGGGGAGCAAACGGG
RNAcentral lists this ribosomal RNA (253 nucleotides) under uncultured bacterium. RNAcentral's name for it is "partial 16S ribosomal RNA". It matches the Rfam family "Bacterial small subunit ribosomal RNA", at positions 524 to 776 of the family's 1533-position model. The record is from RNAcentral.